CUAGGUAGCUCAGUUGGUAGAGCAACGGACUGAAAAUCCGUGUGUCGCCGGUUCGAUCCCGGCCUUGGCC
This 70-nucleotide transfer RNA is filed under the name human gut metagenome. It matches the Rfam family "tRNA". From Rfam's summary of the family: Transfer RNA (tRNA) molecules are approximately 80 nucleotides in length. Their secondary structure includes four short double-helical elements and three loops (D, anti-codon, and T loops). The record is from RNAcentral. RNAcentral also lists the same sequence under 2 other names.